UUUCCUCCAAUUGAGAGAGAAUCUGAGGA
RNAcentral lists this non-coding RNA (29 nucleotides) under Macaca fascicularis (crab-eating macaque). RNAcentral also lists the same sequence under 1 other name. The record is from RNAcentral. Lineage: Eukaryota; Metazoa; Chordata; Mammalia; Primates; Cercopithecidae.